This 72-nucleotide transfer RNA is filed under the name Methylacidiphilaceae bacterium. RNAcentral describes it as "Candidatus Methylacidiphilaceae bacterium tRNA-Thr". It matches the Rfam family "tRNA". From Rfam's summary of the family: Transfer RNA (tRNA) molecules are approximately 80 nucleotides in length. Their secondary structure includes four short double-helical elements and three loops (D, anti-codon, and T loops). Lineage: Bacteria; Pseudomonadati; Verrucomicrobiota; Methylacidiphilae; Methylacidiphilales; Methylacidiphilaceae. The record is from RNAcentral.
GCCGGCUUAGCUCAGUGGCAGAGCGGCAGUUUUGUAAACUGCGGGUCGUGGGUUCAAAUCCCACAGCCGGCU